This 136-nucleotide ribosomal RNA is filed under the name Propithecus coquereli (Coquerel's sifaka). Lineage: Eukaryota; Metazoa; Chordata; Mammalia; Primates; Indriidae. The record is from RNAcentral.
GUCUAUGGCCAUACCACCCUGAACGUGCCCAAUCUUGUUUGAUCUCAGAAGCUAAGCAGGGGCGGGCCUGAUUAGUACUUGGAUGGGAGAGUUGUAGAAAAUUAACGGACAUAAGAACUUCAGGGAAAUCCAGACC